CCCCCAUCAGAGCCCUUCGUCUCCUCGGUGCCCAGCGACCCCGUGCAGCUGGAGGUAGCAGGAUAAGGACCAGCCCCGAGACAGAGGAGAUGAGACCCCAGCUCUGCUCCCCACCCUGAUCUACCUGCACUAGGAUUCAGGACUCCUGGGUUCUCUCCCCGGCUCGGGAUGGGAAGUGGUGUCUAGUGGUUACCACAGGGGGGUGAGGAGGUUUUAAUGUUGUACUUUUUAGUUAUUUUCCUAAUGAUAGGUUGAUUCUCAAUGGUUGAUAACCAUGAAAACGGUUGAUUUGCAACUCAACAGAGUCUUUACGCUAAAUCUGGUGCUUUUUCUGUUGCUAACCAUGAUGGCAAACUAUAGCUGUGCACAUUGAUUUAAACUUUUCUAUGGAGUAAUUUACAUUUCUUCUGUCUAAUUUUUACAUUUUGAUUAUGUUGGAAAAUGGCAAAGAAUCAUUUAUUUCCUAGAUGAUGAUGAUGGUAUUUUACUUCUGAUUUGUCCAAGCUCUGUUUGGAUGGAAAUUCAAAUGCACAGAAACAGCAUUUUCAAUAUGUUUAAUAAUUAAAUAAAAUGUCAAAGUCAGA
This is a long non-coding RNA of Mauremys mutica (yellowpond turtle), 584 nucleotides long. RefSeq lists it as uncharacterized. The record is from RefSeq and is a predicted model, not a curated record. NCBI's taxonomy places the organism in Eukaryota, Metazoa, Chordata, Testudines, Geoemydidae. The transcript has 2 exons.